CUAGUUAACGCUAACGCUAGCUAGAAGGGUUUGUCAUGACUUUGCCUGGAACGCUUCCAAGUUGUGAGUCCUGACUUGAAUAAAUGUUGUCCGGA
Molecule: long non-coding RNA, 95 nt
Organism: Etheostoma spectabile (orangethroat darter)
Lineage: Eukaryota; Metazoa; Chordata; Actinopteri; Perciformes; Percidae
Exons: 3
Source: RefSeq, a predicted model, not a curated record